GGCUUGAUUUUAAAGCAGAUCGCCCUUUCACGGCGGAAACACGGGUUCGAGUCCCGUAGGGGUCACCA
RNAcentral lists this transfer RNA (68 nucleotides) under Rhodothalassium salexigens DSM 2132. RNAcentral's name for it is "tRNA-Glu". It matches the Rfam family "tRNA", at positions 9 to 71 of the family's 71-position model. From Rfam's summary of the family: Transfer RNA (tRNA) molecules are approximately 80 nucleotides in length. Their secondary structure includes four short double-helical elements and three loops (D, anti-codon, and T loops). Further hydrogen bonds mediate the characteristic L-shaped molecular structure. tRNAs have two regions of fundamental functional importance: the anti-codon, which is responsible for specific mRNA codon recognition, and the 3' end, to which the tRNAs corresponding amino acid is attached (by aminoacyl-tRNA synthetases). tRNAs cope with the degeneracy of the genetic code in two manners: having more than one tRNA (with a specific anti-codon) for a particular amino acid; and 'wobble' base-pairing, i.e. permitting non-standard base-pairing at the 3rd anti-codon position. The record is from RNAcentral. Lineage: Bacteria; Pseudomonadati; Pseudomonadota; Alphaproteobacteria; Rhodothalassiales; Rhodothalassiaceae.